Molecule: long non-coding RNA, 898 nt
Filed under: Mytilus galloprovincialis (Mediterranean mussel)
Lineage: Eukaryota; Metazoa; Mollusca; Bivalvia; Mytilida; Mytilidae
Source: RNAcentral
AGACUGGCCGGCUCAGAGUCGGAAAUGUGUCCGGGUCGGGUGACUUUUCUUCCUGCGAACUAAUAUCUUGUGAACUUACACGAUAAAAAAAAAACGACUCAGCUUGUGAGUCUAGUAAACUAGAGGCUCUAAAGAGCCUGUGUCGCUCACCUUGGUCUAUGUGAAUAUUAAACAAAGGAAGCAGAUGGAUUCAUGACAGAAUUGUGUUUUGGUGAUGGUGAUGUGUUUGUACAUCUUACUUUACUGAACAUUCUUGCUACUUACAAUUAUCUCUAUCUAUAAUGAACUUGGCCCAGUAGUUUCAGUGGAAAAUGUUAGUUAAAAUUUACAAAUUUUAUGAAAAUUGUUAAAAAUUGACUACAAAGGACAAUAACUCCUUAGGGGUCAAUUGACCAUUUCCGUCAUGUUGACUUAUUUGUAAAUCUUACUUUGCUUAACAUUAUUGAUACAGUUUAUCUCUAUCUAUAAUAAUAUUCAAGAUAACAACCAAAAACAGCAAAAUUUCCUUAAAAUUACCAAUUCAGGGGCAGCAACCCAACAACAGGUUGUCAGAUUCAUCUGAAAAUUUCAGGGCAGAUAGAUCUUGACCUGAUAAACAAUUUAACCCCAUGUCAGAUUUGCUCUAAAGGCUGCGGUUUCAGAGUUAUAAGCCAAAAACUGCAUUUUACCCCUAUGUUCUAUUUUUAGCCAUGGCGGCCAUCUUGGUUGGUUGGCCAGGUCAUGGGACACAAUUUUUAAACUAGAUACCCCAAUGAUAAUUGUGGCCAAGUUUGGUUUAAUUUGGCCCAGUAGUUUCAGAGGAGAGGAUUUUUGUAAAAGAUAACUAAGAUUUACGAAAAAUGGUUAAAAAUUGACUAUAAAGGCCAAUAACUCCUAAAGAAAUCAACAGACCAUUUUG